This 329-nucleotide ribosomal RNA is filed under the name uncultured eukaryote. Its description in RNAcentral is "partial 18S ribosomal RNA". It matches the Rfam family "Eukaryotic small subunit ribosomal RNA", at positions 1470 to 1796 of the family's 1831-position model. The record is from RNAcentral.
CCCUUAGAUGUUCUGGGCUGCACGCGCGCUACACUGAUGCGAUCAACAAGUUUUUCCUAUGUCGAUAGACACGGGUAAUCUUUUGAACUCGCAUCGUGAUGGGGAUAGAUUAUUGUAAUUAUUAAUCUUCAACGAGGAAUUCCUAGUAGGUGCAAAUCAUCAGUUUGCAUCGAUUACGUCCCUGCCCUUUGUACACACCGCCCGUCGCUACUACCGAUUGAAUGGUUUAGUGAGGACUCCUGAUUGGCGCCGCCGCCCCGGCAACGGAGCAGCGGACUGCCGAAAAGUUGUUCAAACUUGAUCAUUUAGAGGAAGUAAAAGUCGUAACA